Varanus komodoensis (Komodo dragon) is the source of this 5562-nucleotide long non-coding RNA. RefSeq lists it as uncharacterized. NCBI's taxonomy places the organism in Eukaryota, Metazoa, Chordata, Lepidosauria, Squamata, Varanidae. The record is from RefSeq and is a predicted model, not a curated record. The transcript has 3 exons.
AACUUUGUGUGCUAUUGCAGUUUUGCAAUAGCUAUUGCUAUUUUCUUUGUUUUACACUGAACAGGGUGCGAGGAAAGAAGGAUUUCUUUUCUUUAAAAAAAAUAACAGCAAAUACAGCUCUUCCUUCCCGUGCAAGUCCCUGCGUGCAAUUUAUAUGCACAAGAAGGAAGGAAACGGAGGCAGAACUUAAAGACUCAGAUGCAACAAGAGAAGACAGGGUGUUUUAUUUAACUGCGCUGGGUCUCUACCCUGCCCCAGCCCUUCUGUUCAUCAAGCAAUUGCUAUAUGUGACACGCUUCAGCCGCCCUGCUUUAAAUCACAAGCACUCUUACUACGAAUUGACUAGCAAGAGGAUGUCGGUUGCUGCUUUCCUCUGGUGACCACAUCACAGGUGCACCUGCAGCGAAAAGCAGGGAGGUUUGCUUCUGUGAAACACUCUGUAAACAGCUAUUAGCCAGAGCCAGAAAGAGCCUUGACUCUGCCUGCCUGCCUGCCUCCCUGCCUGCCUCCUUAGCACAGUUAGAUGAGGGCGAUAAGCGUCCUCUGCCGCGCAUUGCUGGGCGUUGAUUCCAGUUAAACUGCAGGAGCUGCAUACAUAUUGCUGCUUGUAAAUUAGAGGACCACCUUGCUGGAUCGGACUGAAAGCGAAUGUCGGUCCUAGCUUUCUCUUUUCCACAGGACCUGCCGGAUAGCCGAGAUUUAUUUUGCCGCUUCCUAAGAGGAGUGCAUGCCUUUGUCGGCUCUGCUGUGUAAUCAUGCUGGCAUCCAUGUGGAUUUGGCAGGCUCCUCAUCUGUGGAAUCCGCCCAAGCUAAACUUGCGUUAUACUGGUUUGCAAGCACCUCCACGCUCCCUGAAGCAGGCUGAGGAACGUCUGGCACUUCUGAGGUGCCCGGGGGGCUGCACCCUCUUCCCCCAGCCACACACACACCCCUCUCCCUGAUGGCCAACCUUCUGAUGAUUUUCCACUUUUUGAAUGUUUCCCUCAUUCUUGGAAAGCCUCUCCCAAGGCAUGCGUUACUUACAACCAUGAAAAGGACUUUCAGUUGAAACACAUCGUCAUUUUGGCCUCAUCCACCGUUUGGAUGUAGGUCCUGAGUCCGUCUCUGAAAAUGGGCCUGGCCUUGGGCUGAAAGGGGUCCCCCACCUCUGCCCCAAGGAGAAGUGCCAGCCCCAUGCUCAGCACCCUUUUGGUUAAGCCACCCUUUUGAAAAGCUGCUGCUUCAGGCUUUCGCAUGCCAUGCAUUGGAUGGCUUCCUGUGACACAGAGGUGCCUAGUCCUUUCCCAGGAGCUUCCAAGGACCUCGUGCUCUGCCAGGCUGCUGCAGGCAGGGUCAGGGGUGGGGGCGCAGCAGUGGCAAUUUGGGUCUCCCCAUCCUAUGUUUAUUUUUCCCUCUGGACCUGGGAGUUCAAGGCUGGAGUCCUCUUAGAUGGCAGGGAUCCUGGCCUCUCCCUCCCUUUCCCACCAUUGGAAUGUCCUCUUUUUGACUUUGGGAAGCAAGUUCGUUCUGCGGUGGCAGGAAGGGGAGAUGAGAAGAUAGAAUCCCUGUCUAAAGUUGUAAGGGCAUCCAUGGUCAGGAGCACAACUUCAACAUAUCCUUUGCCCUUGGGAUGCUCUGGCAGGUAUUAUUGAUUAGACUUCUAAGCCUUCAGAUAACACAAACUAUCUGCAGGUUCUAUAAUGCAUUAAAAACACAAACUGGUGAAUUAAAAUAAGAAAAUGGCAAAAUAAGAUCAGCAACAAGUGAAACAAAAAAUGUAGAUAAAGCAAACAGUAAUUGAAAGUGCAGUGACUGAAAAGCACUAAGAGCUAUUCUCAGAAUGCUUAGGAGAAAGAAAGAUGAUCAUUUAGGGGCCAGGCAAGCCUGCCUGGGGGGCACAGUUCAUAGAGGGGUCCUAAAAGGUCCCUCCUUGUCUCACGGAAGGGGCUGCCUGGAAAAGGGCUUCAGGGAAUUGCUUUAGAGUCCUGGUAGAUAAAUAGAACUGUAUGGGAUCAUUUUAGGGCUGUUUCCCACCAGCUUUCCAUCUUCCCACAUGUGACAUUUUGAUUGGCAUAAUCAAGGUAUUGCCCCAUUGUGGAGUUUGGAAUGAAAUAUGUGUGUGUGUAAAAAAUUCUUGCAAAAAUAUAGUCAUAAGCUGCAGUGACUAAAUACAGGGUGGUGCAGGGAAACAAGAAAUUUUAAAUUGACAUUCAAUGCAUGGAUAAACACAUUAAAAAUAGAUUUUAUGGUGAAAUGUACAGGAUAUGCAAUGAAUGCUGGUAAUCCAUAUUCAUUCAACAUUCAUUUUAUGUCUUGAAGAUAACAUCAUGAAGGUGUUGUCCAUUUCUCCCUACGCAUUCUGACAGCCUAUUGUGGAAAUUCUGUACUGCUUGACGUAACACGUCAGGGGGAAUGCCAGCAAUUCCCUCUUCAGUCCUUCUUUUUAGUUCAGCCAUGCUUGGAAGACGUGUGUGGUACACUUUUCAGAUGUCCCCACACAAAAAAAUCACAGACAGCGAAACCUGGGGAUCUUGGAGGCCAUGGAACGUCACCGUCACAUGAAAUAAUCGUCAAAGAGCUGCCAUCGAUUGUCGGGAAGUAUGCAACGUGGCUCCAUCUUGUUGCAACUGUUGAAGCUGCAGGUCUGACUUGCAGGGAUGCGGGCUUUAUCGCCCCAAAUGUAGUGAUGAGGCGUGUUGUCAAACGGAGCGGCGAGGGCUCCUCACGAUGGCAGCUCGAACAGCCUCAAUCUUCUCUGGUGUGCAGGCCAUUCGAACACCUCCUGGGGACUCCUUUUUUAAGGCUGAACCCAUUUCUUUGAGAUCACACACCCACGUUGCAAUUGUUUGAGCAGAUGGGACACGAUCACGAUGUCCUAACUGGCAAUGAUGCCAAAAUUUCCUUUGUGCAGCAGUCACACGAUCACGAUCCCUGUAAAAGGCUCUUAAAGCGAAUGCUUGUUGUGCAUCACUCCAUUGCUCCAUUCUAGCUAAUGGCGAGGGGUUCUAAAUGAGGUUGUGGUGGUUCCACACAAUUGCUGAUGCCCCAGGGUUGCCAACUCCUAGUUCCAAAAUUUCCCUGCGCCACCCUGUGCAAAAGGCCAAACCAUUGAUAGCCUUUUAACCACAGUAAAAGAUGAAAAAGAGCUAGGAUAACAUCAAGUUUAACAUCAUUAUAGCCUGCACAUUGAGAUCCAUUUUAACCUGGUACCAAAAUUCCUAAGGGUAACUGGCAGGUGACAACCUAUAGUUUAUUUUCAGGGAUGUUCUAAAUUCAAUUAACUGAGUGUACCCAAGACGUUACAUGCUCCUAAGCAAGCUCCUUCUUUGGUCUCCUGAUGCUUGUUUUGAAUUGGACCAGUUGUACUUCUCCAGGUUAUAUAUAGCCCAAACCAGAAUCUACACAGAUGUGCUUGGGGAGGAAGAGAAUUUGAAGCAAAGUAAAUCAAUAAGCAACACAGAUGACACCUGGGAGCUGUGAACUGGGCGAUCUCUGGAAUGAGGCAGCUGUUAGCCUAGGAGAGGAACCUUGUCUCUCUCAAUGAAAUGUGACAGCUAACGGGAUUUGGGACCUGCCAACAGCUGGCACAGCCCAAAACCGACCAGGCGUCUUGGAUCAGGGAAAAGCUAGUCAAAUACCCUCCCCUGCUUUGUCUUGUCAGCUAGCGGAAGUCCUGAGCGGUGGAAGAGUCUUGGAUUGCUGGGCUUGGCACAAUCAAGGACUAGUACAAGGAAGGCAGCUGCCCUGCUGGAGUGCUGCCAACAUGCGUGAACAGCCGGGGAAGGAGUGAGAGGUCCGCUCCAUAUAAGCCACCACAAACACAUUGGAGAAAUGAUGGGCUAGAAAAGUCUUGUGUUAAUCCAACAAAUAAAUACAUAGACUGUAACAAUCAUUCGUUACUGAGCGUAUGCUACAAAGAAAGUGCAGAGAGGUGCCAGCAGAGGGCAUCCCGUCCUCAUUAACAAACGGAAGAAACUCCAAUUAAGACAAUGGAACUGACAAAUGGAUAUGGGAAAAAUCAACCAGCCUCUGUGAAGUUGCCCUACCUGGCAUCCCAAUCGCGUUUUCUUAUUUGCCAAAGAAUGGGAGCAACCAGAAGCGGCAAUCUGCAAGCUCUGAGAAAGCAGCACUCAUUCCAAGAAGAGCACCACAAGCAAUUUGCUUACAGCUGAAUCAUGCAUCACUCCUGUUGGCGCCACCUUAAAACAUAAUUGCCUUGAUGAAAAUGUCUCCCACAGGUUGCUUCCCUCCCCCUUUUAGCCAUGCACUAUUUGAUCGAAAAGAAAUUGCUUCAACACUCAAGAAACUGUUCGAGAAAUUCUCAUGGGCGGGGUUCAGGGUUCUUGUGCUUCUUUGGUUUAUGAAGUGGCCAAGGCUCUUGGGUGGGAGUCCUUUCUUUCCUUGCAUGGUCAUCGCUCUGUCAGCCGGCUAUGGGCCAAGCCCCCCCCACCCCCAGCUCCUCACAUUUCAGUUCGAGCCCAGGAGACAUCGUGGGACAUUCUGAGAUCCAGAAAUGCAGGCAGGCAGAGUGGUGGAGAGUAUGUUUGUGGCAGUGCAAAUAACGACCCCCUAGGAGGAGUUGUGCUGCAACUCUGAGGUCUGCCCUACAUGAGGGGCUUAGCCUGCCGCUUUACCAAGCCUCCUCCUCCCGUUGUCGUCGUGGAAGGAAAAGUGUGUCCUUUGCACAUUUUUCCCUAGAGGUUUCUCUUUCUAUGUAUGGUACAAACAACCACAGAUUGAUGCUGUGGUACAGGUACACUAUAAUAGACCUUGGGCUUCUCAUGAGGUUUUUGUUUCAGUGUGUUGCGGUUUAAAAUGUAAUGCCAGUGUUUCCUUGUGUUAAAAGGUCUGCUCAAAAGGAACACACGGGAAAAGCUCUGGAGGGCAAAAGCAUUUUGGAAAUGUCCCACAAACUUCCAGGAGCACAGGAAAUGUGCUGAGAAUUUCUUCUCCCCGAGAUGCACUGAAAUGCCCCCCCCCCCAAUGUUUCCGCCUGCAAAUAAGAUGGAGAAUGUGGGGAGACAUUUGCACACUGCUAUACUUGAGCAGGCAUUGACUCUGGUGUGAGCAAAAGUCCUUUGUCAGAAGGGCACGUGCAGCUAGGUGGUCCUCAAACUCAUGGGGGGCAGGCAGGAAAAGAUGCUUGUGCCAGUCCCUUGUCUGAAGUGUGCAUGGAGAGGGAGAGGAGCUUGGCUGUGACUUGUGGAUAUUAAUCCCCUGGUGCCCCCCUCCCCCCACAAUCUCAGAACUGCCAUCAUCUAUGAUCGUUAUACAUUCUUGUAUGCUUUAAAAAUAGUUCACACACUUAAACCAGUAGUAUUGAAUUGACUCUUUUGUUUGUCAGAAAGUCUGCAGCAGGUUUCUUGUUUCCCCAGUGGGGUGGUGCUGAUAUGUUUUGCACAUCACCCUUGGAAACAAUGGAAAAGUAACAGGGGAAAGAGAAUGAGAGACAGAGAGCCACUGUACUGUGGUGACCAUCAGCCCCUGCACAGGAAGAGUGCUCAUCAUAAGUGGAGCAGCAGGAAUGGCAGCAGUCACCGCCACCUCCCCAUCCUCCAACUCUACUGUUGCUAGAUGGACUAC